AAUGGGAUAACUGGGUCAAAUGGUAGUUCCAUUCCAAGUUUUUUGAGGAACCUCCAUACUGCUUUCCAGAAUGGUUGCAUCAAUUUGUAAUCCCAUCAGCAUU
RNAcentral lists this microRNA precursor (103 nucleotides) under Marmota monax (woodchuck). The record is from RNAcentral. Lineage: Eukaryota; Metazoa; Chordata; Mammalia; Rodentia; Sciuridae.